UACGUAGGGGGCUGGCGUUGUCCGGAUUUAUUGGGCGUAAAGAGCGUGUAGGCGGCCAGGUAGGUCUGCUGUGAAAACUCGAGGCUUAACCUCGAGAUGUCGGCGGAAACCAUCUGGCUAGAGUCCGGAAGAGGAGAGUGGAAUUCCUGGUGUAGCGGUGAAAUGCGCAGAUAUCAGGAAGAACACCCGUGGCGAAAGCGGCUCUCUGGAACGGUACUGACGCUGAGACGCGAAAGCGUGGGGAGCGAACAGG
This 253-nucleotide ribosomal RNA is filed under the name uncultured bacterium. Its description in RNAcentral is "partial 16S ribosomal RNA". It matches the Rfam family "Bacterial small subunit ribosomal RNA", at positions 524 to 776 of the family's 1533-position model. The record is from RNAcentral.